This 429-nucleotide ribosomal RNA is filed under the name Verrucomicrobiota bacterium. RNAcentral describes it as "Verrucomicrobia bacterium partial 16S ribosomal RNA". It matches the Rfam family "Bacterial small subunit ribosomal RNA", at positions 355 to 776 of the family's 1533-position model. The record is from RNAcentral. Lineage: Bacteria; Pseudomonadati; Verrucomicrobiota.
UAGGGAAUCUUCGGCAAUGGGGGGAACCCUGACCGUGCAACGCCGCGUGAGUGAAGAAGGUUUUCGGAUCGUAAAGCUCUGUUGUUAAGGAAGAACGAGUGUGAGAAUGGAAAGUUCAUGCUGUGACGGUACUUAACCAGAAAGGGACGGCUAACUACGUGCCAGCAGCCGCGGUAAUACGUAGGUCCCGAGCGUUGUCCGGAUUUAUUGGGCGUAAAGCGAGCGCAGGCGGUUAGAAAAGUCUGAAGUGAAAGGCAGUGGCUCAACCAUUGUAGGCUUUGGAAACUGUUUAACUUGAGUGCAGAAGGGGAGAGUGGAAUUCCAUGUGUAGCGGUGAAAUGCGUAGAUAUAUGGAGGAACACCGGUGGCGAAAGCGGCUCUCUGGUCUGUAACUGACGCUGAGGCUCGAAAGCGUGGGGAGCGAACAGG